RNAcentral lists this transfer-messenger RNA (315 nucleotides) under Alphaproteobacteria bacterium 65-7. It matches the Rfam family "Alphaproteobacteria transfer-messenger RNA". Rfam says of the family: Bacterial tmRNA, also known as 10Sa RNA or SsrA, is named for its dual tRNA and mRNA-like properties. Its role is to liberate the mRNA from a stalled ribosome. The record is from RNAcentral. Lineage: Bacteria; Pseudomonadati; Pseudomonadota; Alphaproteobacteria.
GGGCUUCAAAAAAUAACCCCGGCACCCUAUAUUGUGAAGGUCGGCUUGCCGACUAUGGCGAUAAACGGCUUCGUAAUAAGCGGCCCGGACCCGGGGGCGGUACCCGGCGCCUCCACCAUAUGCCCAUGCGCGACGUGGGUAUUUGUGGGGGCGAAACAGGAUCGACGGACGUGUAAAGGCUGUCCUUUUGCCCGGUAUUGUUCCGCCGUCAUCGGGCUACUCGUACAAGUGCCAACGAUAAUGAAAUGGUGCUCGCUGCCUAAUUAAUUAGGUAAGCGCGGCCCGGGGGGCGCCGGGCAACAGAAGCCCCCCACU